Molecule: long non-coding RNA, 410 nt
Organism: Capsicum annuum
Lineage: Eukaryota; Viridiplantae; Streptophyta; Magnoliopsida; Solanales; Solanaceae
Exons: 2
Source: RefSeq, a predicted model, not a curated record
UUAGUCAUGUCAUUUGGUCUUACCAAUGCCCCAACCGCUUUCAUGAACUUGAUGAACCGUGUGUUCUAGUACGUGGACAUAUUCGUCAUAGUUUUUAUAGAUGAUAUUUUGGUCUAUUCUCGCACUGAGCACGAUCAUUCGGACCAUCUCAGAACUGUUCUUCAAAAUCUCAGAGAUCAUCAGCUAUUCGCCAAAUUCAUGCAGGUUGUUGCAGUUACUAUUCGUGAUUAACCUGCUUUUCUUGGAUGGUCGGGUGAUCUAGGGCGUCGGAUGAUAUGGGCACCACAUGAUCCGACGAUGUAAAUCAUCGGGACCAUAAAUGGAUGAAGAACUUGUAAGACUUUUCAUACAAGACACCAUGUACAGGCCUAAACUAACAUUAAAGAAAGAAAUAUAAAAGUAUUGUUCCA